This is a non-coding RNA of Salmo salar (Atlantic salmon), 881 nucleotides long. NCBI's taxonomy places the organism in Eukaryota, Metazoa, Chordata, Actinopteri, Salmoniformes, Salmonidae. The record is from RefSeq and is a predicted model, not a curated record.
UGUCCUUGCUUGAUGUAGAAACAGGUGAACAGUUUUGGAACACUGAGCCAUUGACUGCACCAGGUGGCUACGUUACGAGUGGGUUGCUUUUGAUAAUAAGGCACCGGACUGCAGCCAUAUAGUUUUGAACCUAGAAUAAAACCAAGAGACGGGAGUAGGCAAGAAGGACUCGACCUCGAUGGGCGAGAGGAAUGCCCAGUUGGCCAGAAAAGCAUGGUUUGUCAUCUUUCUUGGAGCCUGGUGAAGAUAGAUGCAACCAUACUACAAGGCAGGAUAUUUCACUGCAUCUAGGUUGAGGCUUGCUACGAGCAGGAACAUGGAGUACUCUGUGUCAGUAACUCAUGAUAUUGUUUUCCUUACAUUGCAUGAUACUAGGGAGGAGGCCCUGGGCUAGUGGAAGGUCAUGGGUGAGGGCUCUCUCUCUUUCUAGCACUCACUACCUUUAUCAGUCUCUCUCCUGUUACAGAAUGGUCCAAGGACCUCCAGAGCCUUCUGACCAACUACCUGUGAUAUCUCCAGAGCACAGAGAAGUGAGUCUGUUGGGUUGGAAACUCUAGAGCAGCACAUCAAGAAACCUGCCACCCUGUUGUCAGCUAUCUGCAGACAGUUCCCUGUGGAAGGACGCAACUAUCAAGGUUUGCAAAGGCCAUAUUUUAGGGAUGACCAAAUGCAACAAAGUUUUGUGUAAACUAAUUGUAAUUUUAUUGUUAGAUUACAAAGCACCUUUUCCACAGCAUUUUUUUUUACAUUGGUCUUCACACUAAUUCAUGUGGUAAACACAAAGACAACACGUGGAGCUUAUGAUUCAAAAGGUCUAAACUAAAUGCAAGUCCAAGGUGAAAACGUUUUUAUUCAUUUACAAUGCCUUCAGAAAGUAUUCA